UACGGGGGGGGCAAGCGUUGUUCGGAUUUACUGGGCGUAAAGGGCGCGUAGGCGGCCACUGCAAGUCAGUUGUGAAAUCUCCGGGCUUAACCCGGAAAGGUCAACUGAUACUGCAGGGCUAGAGUGCAGAAGGGGCAACUGGAAUUCUCGGUGUAGCGGUGAAAUGCGUAGAUAUCGAGAGGAACACCUGCGGCGAAGGCGGGUUGCUGGGCUGACACUGACGCUGAGGAGCGAAAGCGUGGGGAGCGAACAGG
This 254-nucleotide ribosomal RNA is filed under the name uncultured bacterium. RNAcentral describes it as "partial 16S ribosomal RNA". It matches the Rfam family "Bacterial small subunit ribosomal RNA", at positions 524 to 776 of the family's 1533-position model. The record is from RNAcentral.